UGGGGGAUAUUGCACAAUGGGCGCAAGCCUGAUGCAGCGACGCCGCGUGGGGGAUGAAGGCCUUCGGGUUGUAAACUUCUUUUGCUCUGAACAAGGCGCACUUUGGGGUGUGUUGAGUGUAGGGGUUGAUUAGCGCCGGCUAACUACGUGCCAGCAGCCGCGGUAAUACGUAGGGCGCGAGCGUUGUCCGGAAUUAUUGGGCGUAAAGGGCUUGUAGGUGGCUGGUUGCGUCUGUCGUGAAAGCUCAUGGCUUAACUGUGGGUUUGCGGUGGGUACGGGCUGGCUUGAGUGCAGUAGGGGAGGCUGGAAUUCCUGGUGUAGCUGUGGAAUGCGCAGAUAUCAGGAGGAAUACCGGUGGCGAAGGCGGGUCUCUGGGCUGUUACUGACACUGAGGAGCGAAAGCAUGGGGAGCGAACAGG
This 419-nucleotide ribosomal RNA is filed under the name bacterium. RNAcentral describes it as "partial 16S ribosomal RNA". It matches the Rfam family "Bacterial small subunit ribosomal RNA", at positions 355 to 776 of the family's 1533-position model. The record is from RNAcentral.